This is a long non-coding RNA of Equus caballus (horse), 4742 nucleotides long. The record is from Ensembl. NCBI's taxonomy places the organism in Eukaryota, Metazoa, Chordata, Mammalia, Perissodactyla, Equidae.
CAGGACUUGGAACAAGUGAACAUUAUUGACUCAUUGGUGUGAUAGUCAGGGACCCACGAGGGUGAAACAGAUCCUGCUAAAAGAUGAAUGAAAGUGCCCAAGGGCAUCCAUGAACUCUGGUGAGACAGAAGGAGCAGGACCUGUGCAGUGAGCAUGGAAAUGGGAACUUUCCAUGACACACAGGCUGUGAGCGAGUUUCACUGGAACCACUCAUCUGAGAGCUCGGCCUCUCUCGUCUGUCUGUUUACCAGUUUAGACCCUCAAGGGGAAAAAACUAUUUUUGUCUCCUGUUUCAUGUCUUCAGGAACAUUUGCUAACUUAAGGCAUCAGCUGUCAGAGCUGCAGGAACUUCUGGAAACCACUUAGGCCCUCCAGCCGAGCCCGAUGUUACAGAUGAGGAAACUGAGACACAGGGAGGCUCCAAGGACACGCUGGUAGUGUCUCUGACAGCUAGCCCAGGGCCUUUCAACCUGGCGAGACAUGAAAAUCUCUGCUCCCUGUGCCAGGAGUGGCCUGAUCAUUAGAACAAGACAUUUCGAAGAAAGCUGCCUGUUUACCAUCGUGACCCCCAAACAAAACUUGAAGGAUACCAGUAACUUUUCACAUCAUUUUAAAGAAACAAAGGUUGGUGCUUUAUUUUUGCAAAGGGUAAAAUAUACCAUCAUUUUUGUUCUUUCCCCAACGCAGAAAGGAGACAGUCUACUGGACAGGAGAAAACUCUAGGGCGAGUUGCCAUUUUCAGUUUAUCCCCACGGACAUUUGAACCAAACGACUUGAGUCCUGACCCCUUCGUCCCUAUAGUCCCCCACAGUAAACGCAUCAACUCAUCACAAAUGAGCAGAGACACAUUGGUCUCCUCGGCCAGGUAGCAUCCACAUUCGCGACAGGUGUGCUCCUGCCACCAGGUCCCUGUCCCUCCCUCAGGGGUCCAGACAGGGCCGGACACAGGGGUGGCAGCAUGGUGCCGCCUUUGGUGGCGGGUAGCAGCUCUCUCACCUGUGGGCUCACCAGGCCAGGGCCGUGUCCUUCACCGAGGUGACGGAGGUCUCCUGCUGUCCCUGCAGACGCCGACGAACAGCCCUCGGUGAUAAAGGACCGGGACACGGAGCAAAGGGCCCCUGUCCCCUGCGUCCGGCCCACAGGGUGAACCACAGGCGGGUGUCCGGGCUCAGAGGCCUUCUCUCCAGCCCCGGAGCUUCUUCUGCCGGCCCCUGGGCGCCGGCUGGCCCGGGACGCGGGGCCGAGGCUUCUGAGGGAACAGGCCACCUCUCUCUGCUCCCCUUGCCGCGCCCACAGCCUGGCCCCUGGGACCCAGGACCUCUCCGCACGCCCCACCCAACCUGGCCAUGGAGCAGAAGGCGGGACAAGACCCUUGGGAGCGGCCCUUUGGCGCCAUUGGCGGUUCACAUGCGCGUGGCGGGCGGUCACGGGCACGCGCUUUCUUUGGCCGUGUGCACAGGGCCAGGAAGCGAGCCCGGCCGACCUUGGGGUCCGCCCAUGUCCGCCGCUGGAGGGAGGCCGUGCGGCCCCGAGCGCGUCCCCGCCACAGCCCGCGGGGAGAUCCCGGCCAUGGCCAUGCCAAGCUGGGCUGCUGCAGCCCCACCACCCGCCCCUCAGGGGACAGUGGGGAAACGGAGGCCAGGAGCGCCAGGGACUGGCUGGGCCCUUGAGCUGGGCAGAGGCCCCAGGACAAGAAAUAGAGCCUCCUCCCGUUUGCAUCGCGGCGUCUGUGUUUCCGUUCACUGGCUUAUUCAUCCACUCAUUCACUCAUGGCCUCACUCACUCACUCAUUCAUCCAGUCAUUCAUUCAUUCAGGCCUUCACUUGUUCCUCAUCCGUUCAUUCGUUCAGGUAGGAAUUCAUUCUUUUAAUCAUUCAGCCAGUGGCCUCUAUUCCCUGCUUGUGUGCCCAGCACUGUAACUUCACCAGGGAGCAAAACCCAAUAUGUUUCCUGCCCACGUGGAGCUCAGGUCCCUUGUGUGACAUGAAGAAAAUGUCAGAGAAAUCCCAUGCUGGGCGCUGCCAUCUUGGGUGACCCUUGAUCCCAUGUUCAGGCCCAAGAGCCCAUUACCACGUUUCCUCCAGGCAAAGGCAGACCCUGAGGGCAGCCUGGCUCAGGGAGGCCUGAGGAAGAUGCCCCAUGGGGGCUGAGGGUCUCUGGGCUCAGGGUGGGGAGGCAGGCGGCACAGGGAGGGAAACGGGGUUCCUGGGCCAGGCUGCCGAGAGGCGGGGUGAGUGGGCGCUGGGAGCCACCACCUUGGCUCUGAGCUUGUGUCUUUGCCUCUGUGCCUCUCCCUGGUGAGAAAAGCUCAAACCGUCUACACUACCCCCACCCCUCGCCCCUCGCCCACCCCAUCCCUGUACAGUCCAGAGUGGUGAAAGCCAAGGAGGGGAGAGGCAGGGACAGGGGGAGCCCUGGGCACCGCUUCCCUCACUCCAAUUAGAAAUGUCUGCUCUGGCUCCACCCUCGGCAUGGGCUCCCCUGGUUCCCUACAAACCUCCUUCUCCCUCAGCCCCAGUCCUCACCCACAGAGAGUUGGGCGGGGCUGGCUCUGCAUCUCCAUCCUCCACGGGGGUCUCCCAAGUCCCCCAAGAGGUGCUGCCCAUGCCACUGCCCUCUGCCCAGGCACUCAUCCAAGCUGGAGAGGUGUGCACACCUCAACUCUCAAGAUUCAGGGGUUCCAGAGCCCCCCAAGCACCAGCAGGCUCCCCUCCCACCCUCUGCAGGCCACAGGCCUCUGGUGGAAGAGAGGGAGCUGGGGAACUCAGAGAUGCCCACUGUGGCCUCCCCACCGGGCAGCAUGGCCUCGGUGACCAGUGUGGUGUCCACAAGGAAAUGCAGGGUCUGGUGGGGCUCAUCCCCUGUGAGGUGACAGAGGAAGCCAUGGAGGUCAGCAGAGAAGGCUCUGGAGAGACAGGAAAGUCGUGGCCCCCACCCCAAGCUGAUGGCACCAAGAGAAACUUGCCCACCUACCACAGGACCCUCCUGGCAGCAUCUCCCAGGCUGACCUUUAGGACCCCAUGGCCAUCUUGGGCCACCUUUCUGAGCCACUGGGUCUGGAUGUGGGGACAUGUAGGGUCCUCCCCAGCCCCAGCUAAGAGAGGGGACCUUGGGGAGCUCGCAGAUGAGAGCAGAGCACGCCAGUCCUGGGACUGAGGAAGUUUUGAUGCCACUCUGUGAGUGGACACUGGGCAGAGGUUGGCAGGAAACCCCCCAAUAUAUCUGUGCCCAUUGUAAUCCAGGGCAGGGGACAGCCGGGCACUGCUGUCACAGCCACAGGUUGGCUUUGUGAGCGGAGCUUGGGAGAGGGAGAGGGGGACUGCCAGCACUGGAAAGACACGGGCUUUGACUUUUCAGCUCCUGCUGGGCUGUGGAGCCAGCUGAAGACAGGGCCCAGGAGCUGGGAGAGCCAUCCCCUGCUCCGGCUCCUGCUGGGACUCUGGCCUGGCUGAAGACUCAGCCAUGGAGCAGGGAGAGCCAUGCCCUGCUCCAGCUCCUGCCAGGGCCCAGGAGCAAGCUGAAGUCGCAGCCAGGGAAGAGGGAGAGCCAUCCCCUGCUCCAGAUUCUGCCUGUGCCUGGGAGACUGCUGAAGCCCCAGCCACGGUCCAGAAAGAGCCAUCCACUGAUCUGCCUCCUGCUGGGGCUAGCGAGCCAGCUGAAGCCACAGCUGGAGACCACGGACAGCCAUCCCCUGCUCCACAUCCUCCUGGAAUCCUGGAGCCUGCUCAUGCCCCAGCCCUGUCCUCGGGAGAGCUCACUCUCCAACGCCCAUCAUCCCCAGCUCCUGACCCAUCCCUUUCACCUUCUUCCUCACCACAACCUCCCUUCGUCUCCCACCUUAACCUGUAUAUCUGUGUAGCCGUUUCUAAUUUUCAUUUUCUUGUCUUGUUGUGGUGUUUGUGUCACCUUGAAAUAGAUUUAUGGAUUUAUAUUUUAAGACAUCUGUGUUUUCUCCUUUUAAAUUGUACAAUUCCUGAGCAUUAAGUUCCCAGCUCCUAGAGACAGCCCCCAACAGCUCACUCAUCUAGCAGUCGUCUAGAAGGAGCACCAUGAUUUCCUGUUGUCUUCCCAUGUGCCAGGGCCGCAGCCUCAGCAGAGCCCGCAAGGAGUGCCCAGGAUGCAGAUGCGGGCUCCUGUCCCGCUCGAGACAUCUCAGGACGUUUGUGUGGAGGGACACAAAGAGGUCCACUCGGGACACGGAGUCCAGCUCCCCGAGGGAAGAGAAGCUGGGCAGGAACAGCGUAGCGGCAGGCGUGGGGAAAAGGCUGCCGUCCUCAGGGACUGUUGGACAAGGAUCAGAGCCUGCACAGCACCCAGCCUGUGUGCGGGGAGCACAAUCACAUCCAGCAGCUCCUGCAGAAGGGCAGGAGACAAGCGGCGCCCCAGGACAGGAGGAGGGAGAGGCAGCCCCUACUUAGACUCCUGCAGGAGCCUUGCAGCCGGCUCUCAUGGAACCAGCUGAGCAGGGAGAGCCAUCCCCUGCUCCGGCUCCUGCCAGUGCCCUGGGGCAGGCUGAAGUUGUCGCCAGGGAGCAGGGAGAGCCAUCCCCUGCUCCAGAUCCUCCUGGAGCCCUGGAGCCCGCUCAGGCCCCAGCAUUGUCCCCGGGAGAGCUCACUCUCCAACCCCCGUCAUCCCCAGCUCCUGACCCACCCCUUCCACCUUCUCCCUCACCACGACCUCCCUUCCUCUCCCUGCUUCCCCUGUAUGUCUUCCCUCCUCGGCUUCCCUCCUGCUGCCCUGUC